CCCAUCGACAACAAAUAAUUAAAAUUUUGUGACGGGGCAAAGGCUCCCGUGUGUGGCAGCAUACCGGAAAGGCUGAGUUGAGUCAAGCCUUGAUUCUUUUGCUUGUCGCGGAGUACAAUCCGGCUAACGGUGCAAUUCCUACCACCAGGUGAAGGUUACUUGCACUAAACAGUAAUAUUAGUUUUUCUUUGCAGAUAGAUAGAUAGAGAAUACUGUAUUGUAAUACUCGCAGGCAUCAGUCGGUGUUCAUGCUGCGGCACAGAAGAUAUGUGUCAGUCCAAUUAUGAUUUCAACACGUGAAACUGGUUUAAAUUACACAACUGCCCAUUGAAUGUUAAUAUCACGAACAUCAAUAUCUACAUACCGACUUUAAUCAAGUCUACCACUGCUCGCUCGAACAAAUUGUAAUCCCUCCAGCCGUAGUAGGACAGACACAAGCCGCCCGUCCGCUUUCAAAUCACGUUCAACAAAAUAAAACUUGUCAUUUGCCACAAAUGACACUCAACCCGCAGAUUGGCUCAUGGGUAAGCCAGUUAGCAGCUGGCCCUGUACUGUUGCCCUGGCAAGAACCAGAUUGAUACGUGAAACAUUCAAAAGGAGUUCUCUACAGCAUCAAUCUGGGACAGUUCCAACGUGAUCUGCUCGGGAAAGGCGGGACAUUGAGAACAAUACUUGCAGCAACUUGUGCACACCGACCAAACUUUUGUUCCGACCAACCCCCCGCCAGCAUGCGCCUUGUUUUGACUAGCUGAGUUGUUAUCUCGAUGAUUGGCACAGAUGGCAUCCUGGCGCUGAAUGAUGGUUGUCACUGUUGCACUGUAACUAUGCGGUUAAAGGCCUUCUUAAAUAACACGACGUUGAUUUGUGAACUAAGCCGAUUGCCAACCGGGAAAAGUUUUCGUCACAACCGCAUAUUCCGCCCCGAGACACACUGUUGCUUUGUGUUGGCUGUAGUACAAAUCAGCAGUCUUGGGACAAUAUUGAUUCAUGGGGUGUUGUGACCACACAAACACUGCGAGAAUUCCGCUCGCAGGCAUGGUUACAACACUGUCAACCUCCUAAAUUAGCAGGCCUGAGGAUUUCACGCGGGAGGAAACCACAAUACCCAUGGACGUAAGCACAGGCAGAACAUCCAUCAUGCAAACCCAUGGGAAGAACUGACUCACGUAUGAACAAAACCUCGAAAGGUGCCACUCCCUGCUGAAAGCGACUCUGGAAUCGGGCGAUGCACACAAGAAUAUAUGUGAGGACAGAGGAUGCAAAAGUGAAUAUGGGUACAGUUGUGUCACGAGCCAUUUCCUGUCUGGACUGACGUCACGAUUGAGAACUUAGGAAACAUCACUAUGACUAAUAACACGCACACAAACACGUAAAAGGGGCAUCAACGUAUGACUUUUAUUUAUUUAUUUUUUUAACCGUACCUGCUCUGAUGAGUCCUGUCAGAUUCAGUGGCUGAAAGUUGGGACACAAAAACGUGGAAAAACGAACGUCUCCCGUUGACACCUUUGUCGAACCUGCCGCUCCCAGCACUCUUCUUGCUCGACGCCAUGUUCGCACGCUCCUUGUUGACUCGCCGCCGCCGCCAGCCUGCAAGCGGGCAAGACCUCUCCCGACCUGCCUCGCGGGGCGCCGAAGCUCCGCCCAUGCUGGCUUCGCUAUAGCCAAUGGGAGACGACGUCUCUGCACGGCAGCCAAUCGUAAUAGCUGGAUUUCUUCAUGCACAUUGGCAACCAGAUCCUGGUAGAGGCUCGCUGCCUUGUCACAAUCAUCCAGAUUGAGGCCCUGUGGAUGAAAGUCAACAUCGAAUAAUCAUCAUAUUAAACAAAAUAUGUACAGAUUUGGAAAACACUUGUCAAGGCCUUUACUCAGGCUAGUCACGUAAUAUGUUUUUUUUUUUUGCAAACAGAUUUUUCACCUUGCUGGAAGUUAACUUUGACCUAAUGUAAUCACCAGAAAUGCCACAAAAAAAAA
Long non-coding RNA from Hippocampus comes (tiger tail seahorse), 1971 nucleotides. RefSeq lists it as uncharacterized. The transcript is spliced from 4 exons. Lineage: Eukaryota; Metazoa; Chordata; Actinopteri; Syngnathiformes; Syngnathidae. The record is from RefSeq and is a predicted model, not a curated record.